GCACCUCAGCAACCCAAUGGACUCUGUUAAGUGGUCAGUUUGGGUAACAGAUGGUGCUAUAGCGAUUCACUGUAAAUCCAGAUGGACCUCCUCUUCCCGUGGAGCCUGUCUCUACACCUUUGACACAUUA
Molecule: small nucleolar RNA, 130 nt
Organism: Takifugu rubripes (torafugu)
Lineage: Eukaryota; Metazoa; Chordata; Actinopteri; Tetraodontiformes; Tetraodontidae
Product: small nucleolar RNA SNORA55
Source: Ensembl